Molecule: non-coding RNA, 240 nt
Filed under: Desulfosporosinus orientis
Lineage: Bacteria; Bacillati; Bacillota; Clostridia; Eubacteriales; Desulfitobacteriaceae
Description: T-box sequence
Rfam family: T-box leader
About the family: Uncharged tRNA acts as the effector for transcription antitermination of genes in the T-box leader family. T-boxes are found upstream of many aminoacyl-tRNA synthetase genes and some amino acid biosynthetic genes usually in Gram-positive bacteria.
Source: RNAcentral
AUCAAAGCUAUGAAGAAAAAGAGUACCUGUCUUUUGAUGCCAAGAGAGAAGAUGGCUGGUGAAAAUCUUCGUGAAGGAAACAGGGAAGCCGUUUCUGAGCUGUUUAGCCGAAAUGAUAUCUGUCCAGUAAGCUUUACCGGAGUUCCGGCCGUUAUAGCGGAAGCGGCAUUUUGUGCCGUCAGAGAGCAGAGUAACCUCUGAAUUUAGGUGGUAACACGGAUUUGCUAAUUCGCCCUAAGC